GGGUCAGGAGGUUGGUCGUGCCACCGGUACGUACUGGUCUCACUGAUUCCUCCUUCCUGAAGAACCGUAAUGCCAUUAAUUGGGUGUUGCGGGGAAACAGGACUGUUACUUUGAAAAAAUUAGAGUGUUUAAAGCAAGCUAACGCUUGAAUACAUUAGCAUGGAAUAAUGAAAUAGGACGAUCGAUCCUAUUUUGUUGGUUUCUAGGAUUGACGUA
RNAcentral lists this ribosomal RNA (216 nucleotides) under Glomeromycotina sp. RNAcentral describes it as "partial small subunit ribosomal RNA". The stretch from base 87 to 216 matches the Rfam family "Eukaryotic small subunit ribosomal RNA", at positions 733 to 864 of the family's 1831-position model. The record is from RNAcentral. Lineage: Eukaryota; Fungi; Glomeromycota.